CUAAAAUUUUGUGAUAGGCCCCUCCUAUUUUUAUCUUCUGUUGCUAUCCUAGCUGAGAAAGGCUGACAACUUAGCUUAAAACCCCAGUCCAUUUGAGGAUGCUACUCCCAUGGAUUGUUCACGCGACCACAAUAGGGGUCUAUCCCCUGGCUAAUACUGUUGUUACAACAUUGUUAAGCAGCAAAAUUCUUUUGGCAGGGAGCACACUCCGAAAAUUUAAUACAUUACAUAAAACUAUCUUGCAAUGCCGUUGUCCUAGUUAGUUAUGGGAAAUAAAUUGGAUUAAUUAUAUUUGUGUGUCAUAUUAUAAGUAAUGGUUGAGACAUCAGCAACAACCAUGAUCGUUCCUUGAUGUUUUAAAACAUGAUGUUUCCUCUUAGGAAUUGCCAUUACCGUUUUUGCAUCUGUUGUCAAGAAAUUUCAUUCCAAGUGCCUCUCAUCCCCAUACAUGUCUUGGUCUAGACUUCUGGGAGUACUGGAAAAUGGCAUUGUUUUUUUCCAAGUGGACAAUACAAAGAGAGGUGUGUGAUAAACUCAGAGACCAAACACUGGAGGAUUUUUCUCGAACAGAGAUAUAAGUGUUUGUGUUGCACUUUUAGGCUUAGCUGUAUAUAUAAUGGUCCUCAGUUAUAUAUAUACUAGUGGAGACUGUGUGUAGUU
Molecule: long non-coding RNA, 660 nt
Filed under: Oryza brachyantha (malo sina)
Lineage: Eukaryota; Viridiplantae; Streptophyta; Magnoliopsida; Poales; Poaceae
Description: long non-coding RNA (OBRA_LNC000116)
Source: RNAcentral